This 713-nucleotide long non-coding RNA is filed under the name Brassica napus (rape). Its description in RNAcentral is "long non-coding RNA (BNAP_LNC021238)". The record is from RNAcentral. Lineage: Eukaryota; Viridiplantae; Streptophyta; Magnoliopsida; Brassicales; Brassicaceae.
CUCUAAAACACAAAAGUGUAUAUGGUAUCAGAGCCAGGUUGCUCAAAAGGGGGUGAGUGUGUGAUUUCUUUUUCGCAAAUCUGGGUUCUUUCUUGAGUGUUCUUAGUGUUCUUGGUGUUCUUGAGUGUUCUUGGUGAGUCUGGGUUAUGUUCUUCAGUCACUAGGCUCGUUUGGAUCUUUCUGAUGGAAACAAACAACCUAGGCAUGGAGAUGAAGCAUAGUUCUAGUAUUCCAUUGAAGCUUGAAGAGGAAACUGGUGGAAGUUGGUCAAGAUGGGCGAAGGCAGUGUUGAGGAGCUGUGUGUUGUGUGAGAUUUUUAGAGAGUAGAAUAGGUAUUGAGAGAUUAAGAGAGAUUUGGUAAGAGAUUAAGAGAAGUUUAGAAGAGAUUGUGAAAGAAAUGGGGAGAUUAUGUAUGAUCCAUGAUGAACAAGAGAGAGACUAGAGAGAGAGUAACAUAAUCCGCUUAAUCUUAUUAAUGAGAGAGUGUUUACAAUAUAUAGGAGUGUGAUACUAGGGUUUAAGAAGAGACUAAGCAUGUGAGGUCAAAGAUAAGAUAGCCCUUUACUUUGAAUCGAACCAAUGAGCCUCUCCACACGCGUGGUCACUAUUCUAAAAGUGAACCUUAUCCUUCCAGCUUGUGCCAGCCUGUAGAGACGCUCUUCCUCUAUCCAUAAACGGUCAUAUGCCUUCUUUGGUCAAGGCAAAACAUGAUC